UACGGGGGGAGCAAGCGUUGUUCGGAUUUACUGGGCGUAAAGGGCGCGUAGGCGGCGCAACAAGUCACUUGUGAAAUCUCCGGGCUUAACCCGGAGCGGCCAAGUGAUACUGUCGUGCUAGAGUGCGGAAGGGGCUACUGGAAUUCUCGGUGUAGCGGUGAAAUGCGUAGAUAUCGGAAGGAACAUCAGUGGCGAAAGCGACUUCCUGGACCAAUACUGACGCUCAUGUGCGAAAGCGUGGGGAGCAAACAGG
RNAcentral lists this ribosomal RNA (253 nucleotides) under uncultured bacterium. Its description in RNAcentral is "partial 16S ribosomal RNA". It matches the Rfam family "Bacterial small subunit ribosomal RNA", at positions 524 to 776 of the family's 1533-position model. The record is from RNAcentral.